UUGGAGGGCAAGUCUGGUGCCAGCAGCCGCGGUAAUUCCAGCUCCAAUAGCGUAUAUUAAAGUUGUUGCAGUUAAAAAGCUCGUAGUUGAAUUUCGGGAUCAAUGGAUUGGUCAUGCCGUUGGUAUGUACUGAUUUUAUUGAUUCUCACCUUCUAAAGAAUCAUAAUGCCAUUAAUUUGGUGUUGUGAGGAAUUAGGACUGUUACCUUGAAAAAAUUAGAGCGUUUAAAGCAGGCUUACGCUUGAAUACAUUAGCAUGGAAUAACGAAAUAGGACAUCGCAUUCUAUUUUGUUGGUUUCUAGGAUCGAUGUAAUGAUUAAUAGGGAUAGUUGGGGGCAUUAGUAUUCAAUUGUCAGAGGUGAAAUUCUUGGAUUUAUUGAAGACUAACUACUGCGAAAGCAUUUGCCAAGGAUGUUUUCAUUAAUCAAGAACGAAAGUUAGGGGAUCGAAGACGAUCAGAUACCGUCGUAGUCUUAACCAUAAACUAUGCCGACUAGGGAUCGGAUGAUGUUAAUUUUUUAAUGACUCAUUCGGCACCUUACGGGAAAC
Molecule: ribosomal RNA, 549 nt
Filed under: uncultured Glomus
Lineage: Eukaryota; Fungi; Glomeromycota; Glomeromycetes; Glomerales; Glomeraceae
Description: SSU rRNA
Rfam family: Eukaryotic small subunit ribosomal RNA
Source: RNAcentral